This 979-nucleotide ribosomal RNA is filed under the name uncultured bacterium. Its description in RNAcentral is "bacterial SSU rRNA". It matches the Rfam family "Bacterial small subunit ribosomal RNA", at positions 57 to 1045 of the family's 1533-position model. The record is from RNAcentral.
GCAGUCGAGGGGUAACAGGGUAGCAAUACCGCUGACGACCGGCGCACGGGUGCGUAACACGUAUGCAACCUACCUAUAACUGGGGAAUAGCCUUCCGAAAGGAAGAUUAACACCGCAUAACAUCACGAGAUGGCAUCAUUUUGUGAUCAAACCUCCGGGGGUUAUAGAUGGGCAUGCGUAACAUUAGCUAGUUGGUGAGGUAACGGCUCACCAAGGCAACGAUGUUUAGGGGGUCUGAGAGGAUGAUCCCCCACACUGGUACUGAGACACGGACCAGACUCCUACGGGAGGCAGCAGUAAGGGAUAUUGGACAAUGGGGGCAACCCUGAUCCAGCCAUGCCGCGUGAAGGAUGAAGGCGCUCUGCGUCGUAAACUUCUUUUACUCGGGAAAAAUUGUUGGGUUUCUACCUGACUUGAUUGUACCGAGAGAAUAAGGACCGGCUAACUUCGUGCCAGCAGCCGCGGUAAUACGAAGGGUCCAAGCGUUAUCCGGAUUUAUUGGGUUUAAAGGGUGCGUAGGCGGGUUGUUAAGUCAGUGGUGAAAUCUUGCAGCUUAACUGUAAAAUUGCCAUUGAUACUGACGAUCUUGAGUACACUUGAAGUGNGCGGAAUAUGUCAUGUAGAGGUGAAAUUCUUAGAGAUGACAUAGAACACCGAUUGCGAAGGCAGCUCACUAAAUUGUAACUGACGCUGAGGCACGAAAGCGUGGGGAUCAAACAGGAUUAGAUACCCUGGUAGUCCACGCCCUAAACGAUGAUUACUAGAUGUGUGCAAUAUACCGUACGCGUCACAGCUAAAGCGUUAAGUAAUCCACCUGGGGAGUACGGUCGCAAGACUGAAACUCAAAGGAAUUGACGGGGGCCCGCACAAGCGGAGGAGCAUGUGGUUUAAUUCGAUGAUACGCGAGAACCUUACCCAGGGCUGAAGUUAGUGAAUGAUUUAGAAUAGGUCAGCAAGCAUUGCACGAACUAGUGCUGCA